CCUACGGGCGGCAGCAGUGAGGAAUAUUGGUCAAUGGACGAGAGUCUGAACCAGCCAAGUAGCGUGAAGGAUGACUGCCCUAUGGGUUGUAAACUUCUUUUAUAUGGGAAUAAAAUGUUCCACGUGUGGGAGUUUGUAUGUACCAUAUGAAUAAGGAUCGGCUAACUCCGGGCCAGCAGCCGCGGUAAUACGGAGGAUCCGAGCGUUAUCCGGAUUUAGGGGGGUUAAAGGGAGCGUAGGUGGAUUGUUAAGUCAGUUGUGAAAGUUUGCGGCUCAACCGUAAAAUUGCAGUUGAAACUGGCAGUCUUGAGUACAGUAGAGGUGGGCGGAAUUCGUGGUGUAGCGGUGAAAUGCUUAGAUAUCACGAAGAACUCCGAUUGCGAAGGCAGCUCACUGGACUGCAACUGACACUGAGGCUCGAAAGUGUGGGUAUCAAACAGGAUUAGAUACCCUGGUAGUC
Molecule: ribosomal RNA, 460 nt
Filed under: uncultured bacterium
Lineage: Bacteria
Description: partial 16S ribosomal RNA
Rfam family: Bacterial small subunit ribosomal RNA
Source: RNAcentral